This is a non-coding RNA of Lepisosteus oculatus (spotted gar), 231 nucleotides long. NCBI's taxonomy places the organism in Eukaryota, Metazoa, Chordata, Actinopteri, Semionotiformes, Lepisosteidae. The record is from RefSeq and is a predicted model, not a curated record.
UCUGUCUCACAGCUCCUCAGACACCAAGACUGUCUCCAGCACAAGCACAGUCACCCCCACUGUCACCAAGACCAGCUCCUCAGACACCAAGACAGACCUCUCUGGCACAAAGACAGUCCCCCCCACUGUCACCAAGACCAGCUCCUCAGACACCAAGACUGUCUCCUCCAGCACAAGCACAGUCACCCCCGCUGUCACCAAGACCAGCUCCUCAGACACUAAGACAGACCU